CGCCUCACCGCGUGCACUGGUUCUGGCUGGGUCUUUCCUUCUGGAGAACCGCAUGCCCUUCACUGGGUGUGCUGGGGAACCAGGACUUUUACUCUGAAUAAAUUAGAUCGCUUAAAGAAGGCCUAUGCUCGAAUACAUUAGCAUGGAAUAAUAGAAUAGGACGUGUGGUUCUAUUUUGUUGGUUUCUAGGACCGCCGUAAUGAUUAAUAGGGACAGUCGGGGGCAUCAGUAUUCAAUUGUCAGAGGUGAAAUUCUUGGAUUUAUUGAAGACUAACUACUGCGAAAGCAUUUGCCAAGGAUGUUUUCAUUAAUCAGGAACGAAAGUUAGGGGAUCGAAGACGAUCAGAUACCGUCGUAGUCUUAACCAUAAACUAUGCCGAUUAGGGAUCGGACGGCGUUAUUUUUUGACCCGUUCGGCACCUUACGAUAAAUCAAAAUGUU
This 441-nucleotide ribosomal RNA is filed under the name Trichocladium griseum. RNAcentral's name for it is "SSU rRNA". It matches the Rfam family "Eukaryotic small subunit ribosomal RNA", at positions 663 to 1107 of the family's 1831-position model. The record is from RNAcentral. Lineage: Eukaryota; Fungi; Ascomycota; Sordariomycetes; Sordariales; Chaetomiaceae.